GUGAGGUUUGCAGUUUGCAUUGUAUUGUUUGUGUUAUAACGAGAUUGAAAGAUGUUCAAAAUUGAAAUCUUGUUCAGGAGAUAUGGAUAAUUUCAAGUGGCCAAGAGCUUUCAAUCUCCGAAAGUGAUCGGAUGGUUCAGAGCGUGAGAUGAUAACCUAGGGAAGUGAUUGAUGAGUCAAAUUUAGUAAGGCAGCUUAGCUACGGGGUUACAUGCAAGCAUAUCAAUAUUCUGUAACAAAUGGUGCAACAGGUCGUGAGCUGUGGGAGAAACUUGAAAAUUUGGCAGUGCACCGUUUUGGUGGACUAUCAAAGCUUGGUUUAUCAGCUUCAGCUUAUUUCUAGUAAAGAGGCACAAGGAUAUAAAGUCAAUGUAAUGAAGAUAUGCUCAUUGCAAUUGUUUGGUUAUAGGUCAGGUCAGCUGUCAGCAUUCAGAAACGAGUGCUGUAAGAAUCGAGGGUGUUCAAAUGUGAAUUUAUUUCACGUGGGAUGCGAAUGUAGCAUAUUAUUACUCUUCCUUGAUAAGCAUUAUAUUUGACCCUUGGCGCUUUGUAUCAUACUAUCAUGGGAUUCCAAACUGAUUAAUGGGGAUGAGAAUGAGAUUUCAGUACAAAUUAUGUAUUGAAUUCUCAUCUCCAUUCCCAUUCCCGUCGGCCAGUUGAAAUCUUAUGACUCCAACAGCAACAGACUCUGGACUCUGUAAUUGUGGAUUUCAUAGUUUAGUGUGUAAUAAUAACCACAGUAAAUAUUAAUUGUUGUGUUGAAUCUUUGAUGAGGUACUUAGUAAGUUACUAGUAUAUUUAACUUUUCUUUUUAAA
Molecule: long non-coding RNA, 816 nt
Organism: Daucus carota subsp. sativus
Lineage: Eukaryota; Viridiplantae; Streptophyta; Magnoliopsida; Apiales; Apiaceae
Exons: 5
Source: RefSeq, a predicted model, not a curated record